RNAcentral lists this ribosomal RNA (2900 nucleotides) under Escherichia coli 4-203-08_S4_C2. RNAcentral describes it as "bacterial LSU rRNA". It matches the Rfam family "Bacterial large subunit ribosomal RNA". The record is from RNAcentral. Lineage: Bacteria; Pseudomonadati; Pseudomonadota; Gammaproteobacteria; Enterobacterales; Enterobacteriaceae. RNAcentral also lists the same sequence under 1 other name.
UAAGCGACUAAGCGUACACGGUGGAUGCCCUGGCAGUCAGAGGCGAUGAAGGACGUGCUAAUCUGCGAUAAGCGUCGGUAAGGUGAUAUGAACCGUUAUAACCGGCGAUUUCCGAAUGGGGAAACCCAGUGUGUUUCGACACACUAUCAUUAACUGAAUCCAUAGGUUAAUGAGGCGAACCGGGGGAACUGAAACAUCUAAGUACCCCGAGGAAAAGAAAUCAACCGAGAUUCCCCCAGUAGCGGCGAGCGAACGGGGAGCAGCCCAGAGCCUGAAUCAGUGUGUGUGUUAGUGGAAGCGUCUGGAAAGGCGCGCGAUACAGGGUGACAGCCCCGUACACAAAAAUGCACAUGCUGUGAGCUCGAUGAGUAGGGCGGGACACGUGGUAUCCUGUCUGAAUAUGGGGGGACCAUCCUCCAAGGCUAAAUACUCCUGACUGACCGAUAGUGAACCAGUACCGUGAGGGAAAGGCGAAAAGAACCCCGGCGAGGGGAGUGAAAAAGAACCUGAAACCGUGUACGUACAAGCAGUGGGAGCACGCUUAGGCGUGUGACUGCGUACCUUUUGUAUAAUGGGUCAGCGACUUAUAUUCUGUAGCAAGGUUAACCGAAUAGGGGAGCCGAAGGGAAACCGAGUCUUAACUGGGCGUUAAGUUGCAGGGUAUAGACCCGAAACCCGGUGAUCUAGCCAUGGGCAGGUUGAAGGUUGGGUAACACUAACUGGAGGACCGAACCGACUAAUGUUGAAAAAUUAGCGGAUGACUUGUGGCUGGGGGUGAAAGGCCAAUCAAACCGGGAGAUAGCUGGUUCUCCCCGAAAGCUAUUUAGGUAGCGCCUCGUGAAUUCAUCUCCGGGGGUAGAGCACUGUUUCGGCAAGGGGGUCAUCCCGACUUACCAACCCGAUGCAAACUGCGAAUACCGGAGAAUGUUAUCACGGGAGACACACGGCGGGUGCUAACGUCCGUCGUGAAGAGGGAAACAACCCAGACCGCCAGCUAAGGUCCCAAAGUCAUGGUUAAGUGGGAAACGAUGUGGGAAGGCCCAGACAGCCAGGAUGUUGGCUUAGAAGCAGCCAUCAUUUAAAGAAAGCGUAAUAGCUCACUGGUCGAGUCGGCCUGCGCGGAAGAUGUAACGGGGCUAAACCAUGCACCGAAGCUGCGGCAGCGACGCUGAUGCGUUGUUGGGUAGGGGAGCGUUCUGUAAGCCUGCGAAGGUGUGCUGUGAGGCAUGCUGGAGGUAUCAGAAGUGCGAAUGCUGACAUAAGUAACGAUAAAGCGGGUGAAAAGCCCGCUCGCCGGAAGACCAAGGGUUCCUGUCCAACGUUAAUCGGGGCAGGGUGAGUCGACCCCUAAGGCGAGGCCGAAAGGCGUAGUCGAUGGGAAACAGGUUAAUAUUCCUGUACUUGGUGUUACUGCGAAGGGGGGACGGAGAAGGCUAUGUUGGCCGGGCGACGGUUGUCCCGGUUUAAGCGUGUAGGCUGGUUUUCCAGGCAAAUCCGGAAAAUCAAGGCUGAGGCGUGAUGACGAGGCACUACGGUGCUGAAGCAACAAAUGCCCUGCUUCCAGGAAAAGCCUCUAAGCAUCAGGUAACAUCAAAUCGUACCCCAAACCGACACAGGUGGUCAGGUAGAGAAUACCAAGGCGCUUGAGAGAACUCGGGUGAAGGAACUAGGCAAAAUGGUGCCGUAACUUCGGGAGAAGGCACGCUGAUAUGUAGGUGAAGUCCCUCGCGGAUGGAGCUGAAAUCAGUCGAAGAUACCAGCUGGCUGCAACUGUUUAUUAAAAACACAGCACUGUGCAAACACGAAAGUGGACGUAUACGGUGUGACGCCUGCCCGGUGCCGGAAGGUUAAUUGAUGGGGUUAGCGCAAGCGAAGCUCUUGAUCGAAGCCCCGGUAAACGGCGGCCGUAACUAUAACGGUCCUAAGGUAGCGAAAUUCCUUGUCGGGUAAGUUCCGACCUGCACGAAUGGCGUAAUGAUGGCCAGGCUGUCUCCACCCGAGACUCAGUGAAAUUGAACUCGCUGUGAAGAUGCAGUGUACCCGCGGCAAGACGGAAAGACCCCGUGAACCUUUACUAUAGCUUGACACUGAACAUUGAGCCUUGAUGUGUAGGAUAGGUGGGAGGCUUAGAAGUGUGGACGCCAGUCUGCAUGGAGCCGACCUUGAAAUACCACCCUUUAAUGUUUGAUGUUCUAACGUUGACCCGUAAUCCGGGUUGCGGACAGUGUCUGGUGGGUAGUUUGACUGGGGCGGUCUCCUCCUAAAGAGUAACGGAGGAGCACGAAGGUUGGCUAAUCCUGGUCGGACAUCAGGAGGUUAGUGCAAUGGCAUAAGCCAGCUUGACUGCGAGCGUGACGGCGCGAGCAGGUGCGAAAGCAGGUCAUAGUGAUCCGGUGGUUCUGAAUGGAAGGGCCAUCGCUCAACGGAUAAAAGGUACUCCGGGGAUAACAGGCUGAUACCGCCCAAGAGUUCAUAUCGACGGCGGUGUUUGGCACCUCGAUGUCGGCUCAUCACAUCCUGGGGCUGAAGUAGGUCCCAAGGGUAUGGCUGUUCGCCAUUUAAAGUGGUACGCGAGCUGGGUUUAGAACGUCGUGAGACAGUUCGGUCCCUAUCUGCCGUGGGCGCUGGAGAACUGAGGGGGGCUGCUCCUAGUACGAGAGGACCGGAGUGGACGCAUCACUGGUGUUCGGGUUGUCAUGCCAAUGGCACUGCCCGGUAGCUAAAUGCGGAAGAGAUAAGUGCUGAAAGCAUCUAAGCACGAAACUUGCCCCGAGAUGAGUUCUCCCUGACUCCUUGAGAGUCCUGAAGGAACGUUGAAGACGACGACGUUGAUAGGCCGGGUGUGUAAGCGCAGCGAUGCGUUGAGCUAACCGGUACUAAUGAACCGUGAGGCUUAACCU